Long non-coding RNA from Rana temporaria (common frog), 133 nucleotides. RefSeq lists it as uncharacterized. NCBI's taxonomy places the organism in Eukaryota, Metazoa, Chordata, Amphibia, Anura, Ranidae. The record is from RefSeq and is a predicted model, not a curated record. The transcript has 3 exons.
CUUCCAGACUCCCAGGGUAAUAGUUCUAGUUACCCCACAGGCAACCAAGGUUCCCCACCUUCUGGUUCUGAUGCCAACACAAACCAAGAAAAUUCCCAAGGUAAUGGAUAUGGUUCCAAUUCAAACAAGCAAG